UAUAUAUAUAUAUAUAUAUAUAUAUAAGCACUAAAGUUCCAACAACACCCGAUACCUCAAAGUGUCGGAUCCACAACAUGGAUACAAGGUCAAAUACAAAAAAUUAUACAAAGCACUAAAAUGACCAACGACACGAACAACCAGAUUGUCAAAUUUUAGGAACGACCCGUCCCUUCUUCAGAACAAACGAAACGAAUUACGUAAUGUGACCAAUAUCAACAGAGAAUAAUAACAAAAACUACAUAUAAAUACAUCUAGCACUACAACUACACUAAUCUACAAACGUAUUUUCAAUGCAGACUACAUGUUUUUGCUUUUUAAGCUUGCCAAUCAAUGUUAAAAGUGGAGCGAAUUAGGACAUGCCUUAUUCGUCCAAAGAGCUGAUCCAAAAUGUUUUGGAAUGAAGGAAAAAACGAAUAAAGGGAAAGGCUUUUUACGUUAAGCAUAUUAUGACGUCUUAAACGAUAAGUUAAAUUUAGCGAACAUUUUAAGGUAGAGACCGAUAGCAACCACGUGAUCAGUAAAAAUCGUGUAUUUUCACGUGAAAUUAUUUUUCGGAAUUCCGUACAUCGCCAUAGAGUAGUUGAAAAACAAAAAGGGGUUCCGAAAGUACAAGUUGUUGCUGUGACUGAAUCGAUGAUUGAGAGGGUCGUCUCGACGAAAGAUAUAGAAAUUUGGCCAUAGUUUAAAUUAGGAAUACGUCAAUGUAAUAAUAGUGGACUAAAUGUUUCGUCCGUGCAGAAUAGCACUUUUUACCUCACGAAAUUCACCACUAUGCAUAGCUGCGCUACGUAAACAAAGUUGUUGAUGUAGCGUGAUCGUGAUGUCCGAGUGCUGCGAGUUUCAAUACUGUUUAUGUAGUCAUUGAGAGUUUAAACAAAGUUUCUUCUGAGAAGAGGAAUUCGAUGGAUGCAUUCAACGUGGACAACGAAAUCAUAAUUUCGUUUGCAUCAUCCUAAGGACCAGUGCAAGUUGAAAUGGGCUUCCAGCCAACAACUUCAACAGCAAUUUGCCAUGAAAAUCAGCAAGAAAGGUACUUCAUUUACAUUGAUGAUGUCAUAUCCCCUGGACCCCACAACUUUACAGGUUACAGAGAAAAUUCAAGAACUGCAAAAUGUGGGACUUGGAUAGAAUCAAUAAUGUAUUUGUGAGCCGAGAGCAAUGGAUAUAUUGUGCAACAUACUAAAGUGUGAAUUUAAUGGAAAACAAGUACAUGUACUCAUGUAUUACAUGUCUUUUUUAAAGACAAUAAUAUUGUAUAAAUAUAUAGGAAGUGUCGUUGUUGAUUAUUCUAAGUUUUUGAUAUAUCAAAAUCAGUAAACAUUUCUAAAUGAAAAUAAAAUACCAAUUUUAUAACUUUAAUCAAUGUGUUUGAAUUUCUCAUUUUCUAACCCCCCCACCCCACCCCCGUUACACACACUCAGUGCAUAUAUACUGUGAAUGCAAUAUGCAUGCAUUCUAAGUUAUCCAAGCGAGUUUUUGUUUCAGUGUGAGACUACAAGUAGGACUCAUAAACUUAUGAAGAGACAUAUAUAUUUGUGAGAGCAAGAUAGCUGAUAUGAGCCUUGAGAUCAAUGGGUCGAGCCGCGGUGGUGGUCUAGAGGUUAGAGCGUUCGCCCCGCAUGCGGAAGGCCAGGGUUCGAAUCCCGGCCGCGACAGACCUGAGUUGUUGAAACAGGUAGUGACAGUUCCAUUGCCAAACGCUCAGCAUCAGGUGUGAAUGUCACUGGUCCUCAGAGAUGACCUUCAAAACGGAUGCCCAGUGUCACAGUAGAUGUGGCACGCUAAAGAACCCUCACUGCUCAAUGGCCGUAAGCGCCGAGCAAAGGCCUAAAUUUAAAGCCGUUCACCGGUCUUGGUAACGUCUCCAUAUGAGUAAAACAUUCUCGAGAGAGACGUUAAACAAGAUACAAUCAAUCAAUCCAUGGGUCGAUUGGGUGGAAAUCUUUCCAUUGAUAUUAAAUAUAAAGUUGUUAUUUAAACAUAUUUGGUGCACUAUGCUGUAUAAUCAUAUCAAUUUCUUAUAAUAGGUAAUCGUGUCUGGUUAUUAUAAAAAAAAAUGUAUGAAAAAUAACUAAAUAUUAAUGCAAUCAUUGUGAGUGCAAAAAGGUCAAUCGCAAGAGCACAUACAUAAAUGCAUUGGCGGAUAUAAGG
Molecule: long non-coding RNA, 2154 nt
Organism: Ostrea edulis (European flat oyster)
Lineage: Eukaryota; Metazoa; Mollusca; Bivalvia; Ostreida; Ostreidae
Exons: 3
Source: RefSeq, a predicted model, not a curated record